AUUGAACGCUGGCGGAAUGCUUUACACAUGCAAGUCGAGCGGCAGCGCGGCCUUCGGGCUGGCGGCGAGCGGCGAACGGGUGAGUAAUGCAUCGGAACAUGCCCAGUCGUGGGGGAUAACACUUCGAAAGAAGUGCUAAUACCGCAUACGUCCUGAGGGGGAAAGCGGGGGAUCGCAAGACCUCGCGCGAUUGGAGUGGCCGAUGUCAGAUUAGCUAGUUGGUGGGGUAAAGGCCUACCAAGGCGACGAUCUGUAGCUGGUCUGAGAGGAUGAUCAGCCACACUGGGACUGAGACACGGCCCAGACUCCUACGGGAGGCAGCAGUGGGGAAUUUUGGACAAUGGGGGCAACCCUGAUCCAGCCAUUCCGCAUGAGUGAAGAAGGCCUUCGGGUUGUAAAGCUCUUUCGGCAGGAACGAAACGGUGGGCUCUAACAUAGUCCGCUAAUGACGGUACCUGAAGAAGAAGCACCGGCUAACUACGUG
This 484-nucleotide ribosomal RNA is filed under the name uncultured bacterium. RNAcentral's name for it is "partial 16S ribosomal RNA". It matches the Rfam family "Bacterial small subunit ribosomal RNA", at positions 30 to 507 of the family's 1533-position model. The record is from RNAcentral.